UCCCUGGUGGCUCAGAGGGUAAAGCAUCUGUCUACAAUGCAAAGAGACCCAGGUUCGAGCCCUGGGUUGGGAA
Molecule: transfer RNA, 73 nt
Filed under: Bos taurus (domestic cattle)
Lineage: Eukaryota; Metazoa; Chordata; Mammalia; Artiodactyla; Bovidae
Also listed under: 1 other name
Rfam family: tRNA
About the family: Transfer RNA (tRNA) molecules are approximately 80 nucleotides in length.
Source: Rfam by way of RNAcentral